GUGAGGAAUAUUGGUCAAUGGGCGGAAGCCUGAACCAGCCAAGUCGCGUGAGGGAAGACGGUCCUAUGGAUUGUAAACCUCUUUUGUCAGGGAGCAAGGGGCAGGUCGUGACCUGCUGUGAGAGUACCUGAAGAAAAAGCAUCGGCUAACUCCGUGCCAGCAGCCGCGGUAAUACGGAGGAUGCGAGCGUUAUCCGGAUUUAUUGGGUUUAAAGGGUGCGUAGGCGGACUGGAAAGUCAGCGGUAAAAUUGAGAGGCUCAACCUCUUCCCGCCGUUGAAACUGUCGGUCUUGAGUGGGCGAGAAGUAUGCGGAAUGCGUGGUGUAGCGGUGAAAUGCAUAGAUAUCACGCAGAACUCCGAUUGCGAAGGCAGCAUACCGGCGCCCAACUGACGCUGAGGCACGAAAGCGUGGGUAUCAAACAGGA
This 425-nucleotide ribosomal RNA is filed under the name uncultured bacterium. RNAcentral's name for it is "bacterial SSU rRNA". It matches the Rfam family "Bacterial small subunit ribosomal RNA", at positions 354 to 777 of the family's 1533-position model. The record is from RNAcentral.